Molecule: non-coding RNA, 116 nt
Filed under: Stegodyphus mimosarum
Lineage: Eukaryota; Metazoa; Arthropoda; Arachnida; Araneae; Eresidae
Source: RNAcentral
GUGUUAUAUGAAAGCGGAGAAGGUUAGCACUCUACAAGGAUGGAAUAGCUUCUGGACCUAAAUACAUAUAUCGUAAAGGUACUGCCGUCUCCUCUGCGGAAAAUUAAUUAAAUUUU